UGGGGAAUAUUGCACAAUGGGCGCAAGCCUGAUGCAGCCAUGCCGCGUGAAUGAUGAAGGCCUUAGGGUUGUAAAAUUCUUUCGCUAGGGAUGAUAAUGACAGUACCUAGUAAAGAAGCCCCGGCUAACUUCGUGCCAGCAGCCGCGGUAAUACGAAGGGGGCUAGCGUUGUUCGGAAUUACUGGGCGUAAAGCGCACGUAGGCGGACUUUUAAGUCAGAUGUGAAAUCCCAGAGCUCAACUCUGGAACUGCAUUUGAAACUGGGAGUCUAGAGAUCAGGAGAGGUUAGCGGAAUACCGAGUGUAGAGGUGAAAUUCGUAGAUAUUCGGUGGAACACCAGUGGCGAAGGCGGCUAACUGGACUGAUACUGACGCUGAGGUGCGAAAGUGUGGGGAGCAAACAGGAUUAGAUACCCCCGUAGUCC
This 424-nucleotide ribosomal RNA is filed under the name uncultured prokaryote. RNAcentral describes it as "bacterial SSU rRNA". It matches the Rfam family "Bacterial small subunit ribosomal RNA", at positions 355 to 796 of the family's 1533-position model. The record is from RNAcentral.